Long non-coding RNA from Sorghum bicolor (sorghum), 2078 nucleotides. RefSeq lists it as uncharacterized. The transcript is spliced from 3 exons. The record is from RefSeq and is a predicted model, not a curated record. NCBI's taxonomy places the organism in Eukaryota, Viridiplantae, Streptophyta, Magnoliopsida, Poales, Poaceae.
UAAUUGGUAUACUUGGAAGAGGCAGUUGAAUCUGUGACAAAGUUUGUUGGCAAAUGGCUGAAAAAGGUUAUCGAUAGUGUCUGGCUGCCUGCAAAUGAUAUUUUAAAGGAUUGUCAAGGUACAUAGCAUUACUGAGCAAAUGUCAAGCAACAAAGAAGCAUAUCAUAAGAUCAUGUAUGUUGCCAUUAAUUCAAUAACGAGCACCAUGUAACCUUUACUGGAGAACAGUUGGAUCCAAGAUAUUUGGGGUGUUACGCCAUCUAUGGAGCACAUUCUUUGUGUUGAUGUAUCAGAAUUGAGAAGGAUCUAUGAAUUGCUCAGAAGUAAGUCUUCUCUUAAGUUGUAGCAUAUGUGCAGCAUGUUUCUCUAUGGAGAACCUCCUGCAACAUCUGACGAGUAAUAUUAAGUUCCAUGUAAAGGCAUGUGGAUUUAAGCUAAAAAAAAGUGGGUGGGUGGGGGUGUCUGAUAUAUUGGUAGGUGUGAAGCUGGUGUAGAAUGCUCAUUGGAACAUGUGUUUCUGACUGUAGUCAUGCAAUUGUAUUGUACAUGUUAUUUCUUUAGUAACUCAGCUUCAGCUAUGACUUUGAUGCUUUUUUUUUUUCUCGAACACAUAGGAGAGCUAUAUGUAUCUUUGUACUAUAAGAAGGAAAAGAGAAUAUUUUGGUGCAGACAGUAUGUACAGGGUUAGGUUAGCUGUGAAUACAAUCAUUGGAUGCCUGCCGUGCAGAUGCUGUGGGGAUCCGACAGAAGGACCCAAGUCCUUGUAGCUUCGGCUUGGCUCCUCACAAGCUCAUUUCAACACUCAGCUCCGCAUGAUGCCCGAGGCUUGAUCGGCCCAGUUCCCUGCCGGUUGACGCUUUCUUUUCUCCUCUGCCAAGGCAACUGGUUUCCACCGCCGCUGCCUCUCUCCUCCCAUGGUUGUCGUCACAAGGCGACCAGGACCACCACUGGCCUGGUGGCAGUGCCAACAGGCCCCAGCAUGAGGCUUGUGCUGCUGAAAGGCAGCAUCUGGGUUCUACUGCUGUCAUCUUUAAGCACCACAGGAACUAGCCUGCUCUCAACAUCUCAGACGUACGAUCCACUCACUUUCAAGCUGAACAUGGACAACAAUCGUAUAUACAGUCACUCUGCACUUUACAUUUCACUUGGUGCUGUCCUUGCCUGUAAUCCCAAUCUUCACCAAUAAAUUACCAUACAUAUUACAUAAGGAUGUGUACACUGAUCAAAACAGUCCCAUACAAUCUCAGAAAAGAGAGACACCAUUGCUUCCAUACAAUCUGUGUGGCCUGUAGUAAAGAAUUUCUUUUGUUUGAUUCUAGGUGCAAUUUUUCCAUAGGAAUGAAACAAGCAAAAGUCUUCAAAAGUUGGCAUCGAUGGCAUAGCUGUUAAGACACUUGGAAGUGAUCAAACUCGGCAAAGUCUGAUGCAAAACCUCGCUGUAAUGCUGAAGAUCUGUUUGGCCUGCUUGGCUGCUUCAUCCUCGUGAUGAUCCCCACUUCAUCAGCCAAGGGCGUGUUUGAGAGGGUGAACGGAGGUGGCCAGGCCUGCCCCCAAGGCCUAGGCCGGGUUUAGCCGGUCCAAACGGCUGCAACCAGCUUUCUUUGUGCCUCUGCACGAAACUGGCCUGGUCCAGAGGAGAAUGUGUUUGUCAACCAGGCCGCAGCCUGACUUACCAUCCAACUACCAAAACGAGAUGGUGUUUGUGCACCAGGUCAGAGCCAAGCCCAUUGAUAUGUUGCAGAAAUAUGAGAAAGCAUGCAAUCCAAAGGCUUCAGAUUUCAAUUACAUAAAGCCUACAUAAAGCCUCAGUUAGUAAGCCUCAUCAUAAAUCAGUUCUUGGCAUUACUUCAAACAUCACAGGCUAGUCGAUCAACUUAAUGUUCCUUUAAAGGCAACCAUAACAGCAACAUAAUACAAACCAAAUGAGCAGCACCAAUAGGCAUUAGUGGACAUAUGCUUGUAGAUCAAGCAUGUACUGGUCAAGGAAAACAAACAUGAUCCACACAUAAUUGUGCCCAGUUACAACAUCAGAUUUGGGCCUCAGUUACAACAUCAUAGGCCAUUGAAAUUUAUAAAGU